AACGAACGCUGGCGGCAUGCCUAACACAUGCAAGUCGAACGAGACCUUCGGGUCUAGUGGCGCACGGGUGCGUAACGCGUGGGAACCUGCCCUUAGGUUCGGAAUAACUCCCCGAAAGGGGUGCUAAUACCGGAUAAUGCCUUCGGACCAAAGAUUUAUCGCCUUUGGAUGGGCCCGCGUUGGAUUAGCUAGUUGGUAGGGUAAAAGCCUACCAAGGCGACGAUCCAUAGCUGGUCUGAGAGGAUGAUCAGCCACACUGGGACUGAGACACGGCCCAGACUCCUACGGGAGGCAGCAGUGGGGAAUAUUGGACACUGGGCGAAAGCCUGAUCCAGCAAUGCCGCGUGAGUGAUGAAGGCCUUAGGGUUGUAAAGCUCUUUUACCCGGGAUGAUAAUGACAGUACCGGGAGAAUAAGCUCCGGCUAACUCCGUG
Molecule: ribosomal RNA, 433 nt
Filed under: uncultured bacterium
Lineage: Bacteria
Description: partial 16S ribosomal RNA
Rfam family: Bacterial small subunit ribosomal RNA
Source: RNAcentral